Oncorhynchus mykiss (rainbow trout) is the source of this 2915-nucleotide non-coding RNA. The record is from RefSeq and is a predicted model, not a curated record. Lineage: Eukaryota; Metazoa; Chordata; Actinopteri; Salmoniformes; Salmonidae.
AGGAUUUUAUUGCACCGCCACAAUGGAGUAAAGUCCAAAGUCCACUAUGGAGCACAGUCCAAUAGUGGGUCCUUAGACAGACAGCAGAGGUCCUGCUGUGGCUGCCUGCCUCUCUGUCUGUCUGUCUGGGCUCCUGCUCGCUCCGGCUAUGAGGAACUAGUUAGGGUGAUUUAGGCUAUCCCCUCUUUCAAAAUGUACGUACCCCAGGGCCACUUCCGUGCGGACCAGGGCCAGGCCCAGCCUCUGGAUCUGUUGUCUUCGGAGGGAUCGUUGACAUCUCAGGAGCUGAAGACCGAGCCAGGGACCAGGCCAGAUCAGGCGGAGGUCUGUCCAGUCUGUGGAGACAAAGUGUCUGGCUACCACUAUGGACUGCUCACCUGCGAGAGCUGCAAGGGUUUCUUCAAGCGUUCGGUGCAGAACAACAAGCGUUACACCUGUGCAGAGAGACAGAGCUGUCCCAUGAACCCCUCCCAGAGGAAACGCUGCCCCUACUGCCGUUUCCAGAAGUGCCUGGCCGUGGGCAUGAAGAGAGAGGCGGUAAGGGCAGACCGAAUGAGAGGUGGCCGGAACAAGUUUGGCCCUCUGUAUCGACGAGACAGGCAGAUGAAACAGCAGAGAGGGGUCUUCCGCCACCAGCAGCACAACACCACCCCCUACAGGAUCAAACUGGAAAGUGCACAAACGCAUCAGCCUUCCGUUUCAAACAACAUUCACCUGAUGUCCAGUCACACAUCGGCACCCCUUCCCUCUGACAAUUUCCACCAAUCGCAGGCCUACCCCUCUAAUCUGGGCCAUUCAGAGCUCCACCCCAUGCUUCUGGACUGCACCUUGAACCGGGACAGGAGGGCUCUAGCUCCUCCCCCAUCCCUGGCUUACCCUGAAGUGUACCACCGUUCCUCCCAUGGAGGGGGAUCAGGAUACCACCAGGGGAAAAGUGAGAUGAUGCCUUACAGCUACGGCCCGGCACCUCCAUCCCCGCCCACACCUAAAGGGUUACUCACCACGCCCACAACCACACCGAGCUCCACCCCAACCCCGACCUUAACCUCCAUGUUGACUGCUCCCAUACCUAGCUUCCUGGCCCAGCUUCUGGAGGGUGAGCCGGAUGAGCGCCAGCUGUGUGCCAAGGUGCUGGCCAGCCUGCAGAGAGAGCAAGCAAGCCGUGGGAAACACGACCGCCUCAACACCUUCAGUAUCAUGUGUAAAAUGGCCGACCAGACUCUGUUUGGGCUUGUGGAAUGGGCCAGGAACAGUGCUCUCUUCAAGGAGCUUAAGGUGGAGGACCAGAUGGUGCUGCUGCAGAGCUGUUGGAGUGAGCUGCUGGUGCUGGAUCACCUGUGUCGACAGGUGGCCUACAGCAGAGAAGGCUGCAUCUAUCUGGUCACAGGACAACAGAUUGAGGUGUCGAACAUCCUGACCCAGGCAGGGGUCACUCUGACCAGUCUGGUGUCAAGGACUCAGGACCUGGUGGUUAAACUCAAGGCCCUCCACCUGGACACACAGGAGUUUGUGUGCCUCAAAUACCUGGUCCUCUUCAACCCUGAUGUGAAGUCGGUGCAGGACCGCGGGCAGGUGGAGCGGACCCAGGAAAGGGUGAACCACACCCUGAUGGACCACACCCUCUACACCCACCCGGGUCACACCGACAAGUUUGGCCAACUGCUGCUACGGCUUCCUGAGGUUCGCAGCAUCAGCCUGCAGGUGGAGGAGUAUCUGUACCAGCGCCACCUACAGGGUGAUCUGCCCUGCAACUCAUUGCUCACAGAGAUGCUGCACGCUAAACACAGCUGAAUACCGCCUUGCCCUGCUAACAGAGAAUGCUUUACGCAGUUGAACAACACCCUGGGACUGUCCCAAAUGGCAACCUAUUCCGUACAUGGUGUACGGAAUAGGGCCCCCCCAUAGAGCUCUGGUCAAAAGUAGUGCACUAUAUACUGCAGUGCAUAGGGUGUCAUUUGGGACGUUUAACCCUGUUCCACUCAGAGAUGCUGAUUGCUAUGCACUUCUGAACAACUACCUGCUGGACUUGGCUGGUGGGCUCCCUCUCCUGACCUGGGUUGUGUUAAUUUGUCAUAAGGAGAGAUUACCUGGACUUGUCCAAUAAAAAAAAACUGUUUUUGUAUUCCAUUGUAAAACAUUUUUGCCAAGGUGUAGCAUGGUGAACACAACCCAGGGGUCUGUUCAAUAGGGCACAUCGUAGCAAAACAUUUUGCAAAGGAACGCAAACAGAACAAAAUGUAGGUAUUACCUCCCUGUUUCACUGCAUUUCAAAACAUUUUCUCCAUACUGAUCAAGUCCUGGGCAUCAGGGUGAUGUUCAACUGCCAAUGAGCCUGUUAUCAGUCCACCAAGAUUGUAAUCUUUGCUCAAAGGUAGACAUUGUCCCAAAGCACAGAUCUGAGAUCAGGGCCCAAUUUUUAAAAAGUUACCUAUCUGCAUAAAAUUAAUAAAAUGGAAGAAUGGGGACUUGAAUGUGGACUCUGGUUCUAUAUAUUCUUUCUAUGCAUUUACUCCUAUCCGAUAGCUGAAAUCCAUUUUUCCAAAGCUGGACCCAAUGACCCUAAUGCCAAUCCUAACCAUUAAGGGGAUAAGGCAUCAACAUCUGUUCCAGGGCCUGUGGUUAGUAACAACAACAACAACAAUCUACUUUGUGUGCUUCCUCCCAAGUAAUACUCAUCUCCAAUUGUUCAUUUGUUUGAAACCCCGAGUUAACUAGUCAGUAUUCAGUCAGAUGGGAGUAGGAACCAAAACACUGCUAUAUGCUUUCUCCUCUUCCCCUGUAUACACAUUAUGCAGAUGGCAUAUCAUUUGACAAGACAAUGUUGUGUAUCGGUUAUAUCUGUCAGACAAAUCAUGUCAUCCCUUUACCACAAGACCUGUUUGAAAUAAACAAGCAGAGGCGUCACUUCCCCCUCA